AUUCCUGAGGCAUCCCCAGAGCAAGCUGACGAGGUGAAGGUGUUCGAAACAUUCGGCGGGGACCUUCCGGUGGGCAUGACAUCGACAGCCGUUAUCGCAAAAGGACGCGGGUAACCGGUCUUACAAACGAACGGCACCAUGCAG
RNAcentral lists this non-coding RNA (144 nucleotides) under Paenibacillus sp. P22. RNAcentral's name for it is "glmS glucosamine-6-phosphate activated ribozyme". It matches the Rfam family "glmS glucosamine-6-phosphate activated ribozyme aptamer". Rfam says of the family: This entry contains a glucosamine-6-phosphate activated ribozyme that is found in the mRNA for GlmS. GlmS is an enzyme that uses fructose-6-phosphate and glutamine to generate glucosamine-6-phosphate. Lineage: Bacteria; Bacillati; Bacillota; Bacilli; Caryophanales; Paenibacillaceae. The record is from RNAcentral.